AAGAAACAGGUACAGAAGAUUCUAGUAAUGAGUUAGAAGUUUAUUUGAGAGAGAAAGUAGAGGUUUCAAAGGGCGGUACUGGACUUGGGACCGAGUUUGAUGUUUUAUCGUGGUGGAGAAGAAACAGUGUGAAGUUCCCGAUCUUGUCUCAGAUAGCUGCUGAUAUUCUUGCGGUUCAAGCAUCAUCUGUAGCAUCAGAGAGUGCAUUUAGCACUAGUGGGAGAGUCUUAGACCCAUACAGGAGCUGCUUAACACACUUCAUGGUCGAGGUGUUAGUGUGCACAGAACAAUGGUUGAAAUCCGAGAUUCACAUCAAUGAGAAAGGCAUUCUUACAAUAGAGCAGUUACUUUCAGAUGUGGAAACUCAAGAUGAUCUUAUGAGAGGUAUGAUUCACUUCUUCUAAACUCUUUACAUUUAUAGUAGAGCUUUGAAUCUUGAAGACUUGAAGUUUUGAACACUUAUACGUUUCUGUUUUUGUUUUCAUAGAGUUUGAAGCUGGAUGCAAUUUAGACUAAGGAGUGGCUAUGGAGUAUGGAGUGUGGACGACAAAGAGUGACUGUGUCAUUUGUGAUCAUUUGCUUCGUUUCGUUUUUUUUUCUUGUUUAAGACAUCAACUUCUUUAUGUUUCUGUUGUGAACUUGUGAUUUGCUUGAUUUGCUUUCAGUUUUUGUUCUUGUUUCAGACAUCAAGUAUGUUAUAUUCUUGUUCUUGUUUGGUUUCAAAAUUGGUUUUACAUGUUUCAGUCUUCAGACAUGAUGUACGCCAUGAGUUUGGUUUCAAAAUCGGUUUUAUUUCGGUUACUAAUUUGAUUUUGGUACGGUUUUAACCGAACCGUUUUGUAUCCAAUUGGUUUCGGGUAAAAGUUUGGAUAUUUUUAAACCGAAACAUUGGGUACCCAUUUUUUUGGAUUGAAUAUGGUUACUUUUAUCGAAAGACCGAACCGACCCGGAACCGCUCGUACCCGAUCCGAAACCGAACCGUAAGUGUUCCAAGUACUCAUUGGAUACAUUUAUUAAAUAACCGAAAACCCGGACCCGAACGGUUCUUAUCCGGAACCGACCCGAAUAUCCGAAAUCCCAGGCCUACUGAAGACUUCACAACAAAUCUACUAUUUUCCGCUCAAAUUUUAGUAGAAUUUAGGUUUUCUGCCUAAUCAUUAAUUUAGAAAUUUAGGUUUCUACCUAAUGUGAAAUCUUCCAAAACUCUUCCAUAAUAAAUCUUCUCAUGUAUUAGAUCUUUAAAAUAAUUUAUAAAUUUUAUUAAAUUAUUUCUAUAGGAAACAAAAAUCUAAAUCAUAUAACUAUAGAUAUUUUUAAACGAUGUAAUUUAAAUUUACUAAAAUAGAGUUGUUUUCAACAUAGGUGAGUCAAUGUAGAUUGAUCAUGAUAGUCUUCGGUCUAGGGAUUGGUAACAUAUGUUAUAGUAUUGUUUGUAUUCUUAGCUUUAGAUUUUGGAAUCUUAAAUAUUUUUUUAGAAAAAUUAAAAUUGACUCAUAUGUGUUUAGUUUUUAGUAUAUUAAACACUUUAUAAGUUGAUCAUAUGUUUAAUGAAGUGUUUGUUGAUAUUUAGUUAUUUAUUUGGUUUUAUGGUUUUGAAAACUUCUACGGAAAUCUUCUAACAUGUAAUGCAUUAGAAGACUUAUUGGAAAGUCUUUUACAUAAGUUUUCUCAUUAAUAUUAAUUCUUUUUACUAGUAAUUGUCAAUUGCAAAACUAACAUACGUAGACUUAUUGCGACAGUGAGAAAACUUCAUGUAACAAUACAAAGGCUUCUCGAGAAGUCUUCUCUCAGGAAGUCUUCUAUAAAAAUUCAAAUUUCUGACAAAAUUCAGUCAAUUGUAAAACUAACUUGUUUAUUCGAGAAGAGUUCUCGAGAAUUCUUCUUAUUGUUUUUUGUUAACAAAGAAAAAUUAGAAGACUUCUAGAAAUCUUCUAUAAAAAAACACACAAAAAGUCAAUUGCAAAACUAACCAAUGUAUUGACCAGAAGAUUCUGGAAGUUUUCUUGGCUAAACAGAUCUGAAAAAAAAAUCAAAUAUCAUUUUUACAUCCGGUGAGAUUCAUGUUUAGCUUUUAAAAGCACACAAAACUUCUUAAUGGAAGUUACUCACUCAUUCUUGACCAUGAAUUAUGAAUUUGAGUAACUCUAAUAAGCUUAUGGUUUUAAAAAAAAGGAUUUUGGGAUGAAAUAAGAGAUAAAGUGAAAGAGAAAUGGUUUAUGUGUGUAUGAGAUGAGGAUAUGAAGAUGUAUAUGUUGAUUUUAGAUGUAUUUAGAGCUUUAAAUUGGUUGUUCAUGGUGGUUAGUGUUUUGAUUACAAUGAAAAUAUUGUAAAUAAAUGAGAAAGAUGACGGAUGAAUGAGUAAAACACUAAUUUUUAAAGAAAAAGAAAUAAUAACAUUUUCGUGAAUAACUUGAACCUCUAAGAUAAAUAGGGCAAAUGAAAGUUUAAAAAAAAAAAUUAAGGGUUACUUUUUGGAUUGACUCCAAAUUUUGAGUCAUAUUUGAAAAUUCUCUAUGAUAAAUUUAUGUACAUUUUCUAAAACUAAAAUUAAUUGUUUUGGAAACUAUUGGGAGUUAUAUAAAACUACAACGACCUAAUAAAAAUCAACCGAGGUUACAUUAGUGAAACUUACAUUUACUUGUAAACAUAUUAUUUUCAUGUUGUGUAUAUGUUUGUUAAUGAAAUCUAUGUUACUAAGUCUAUUUAAAAUGUUCGUUAUGAUGCAGUUUUAUUUGUAUAAUCAUCAUUUCCAUGGUAAUUAGCUCUCAAUACAUAAUUGUUCAAUAACAUAUUUACCAGUAUUAUUGUCAUUAUUCUUGCUCCAAAACUAGAUAUGAUGUUAUUAUCUUUGAAAAUUUAACGUUUUUGGGUUGGAUUGUCCUUAUUAUAUACUCUCUCUAUUUUGUAAAGAUAGAUUUUUUUUAGUGUUUUCACAAAUAUUAAAAAAACGCAUUAAAUCACUAUAAUAAAUGUAUCAUUUUUUGUAAUUUUUAAUUUUCAAUAAUUUUUAACCAAUAAUAAUUCGAUAAAGUCAAUUAAUUUUCUUGAAGAUCACAAAUUUUCAUAGAAAAUACAAAAAAUAUAUCUUUGUGAAACAAUUUUUUUAAAUAUCUAACUUAAUAAAACAUAGAGAGUAUAUAAUUUUACUUAAUGUGCGAUUUAGGAAUCUGAUGAAUUUGUCCAUCUUUUUGUCAAGAAGAAUUUAUUCAUCUACAUUUUUCUUUACUGCUAUAUCGGCAGAACCUUAUUUUAUUUUGUUUUUAACGGGUUAUGAGUGAUCAAGUGAGAAAAUGAUAAAAUGAAACAUCAGACAUUUUGUAUAAAAAUAAUACAUUAAUCUUCAUGAGACAGUUUUUAUUUUUAAAGACAUAUUUCUUCCGAUUUUUUUUGUAUGAUGUUUUAGAAUAUUUUUUUUGUUUCAGUUUAUAUGAUGGUUUGAAUAUUUUCUGUAAAAUUAUAAAAUUAACUGAUUAAAAAAGUUAAUGUGUAAUUUUUUUGUCUUAUUUGUUCUAAAUAACAAUGAUUAAAUGUUUUUCGGUUACUUUUUGUUGGUAUCGAGCGUUUUUGAUAAAAUAGUUUUUUUAAUAUGUGUAUUUAUGCUAAAGCAUCGUACAAAAAAUAGAGAUAGUAUUAUUAAAAAGAUUGCUAGUUACUUGAAGUACUGACAACCACAUGACUAACCAACAAGACUAAACUAAUGUAUAUGUUAAACAUGACAAUAUUCCUAAAACUUAAUAAUGUUAUGUAGUUAAUAUGAUGAGAUUAAUUUUAUUAAUCAAAAAGAACGUGAGAGAUAUUGACUUCAUUUAAUUUCCCAAUAGAGCAAAUAAAAUUCGACCCAUUGGACUGUAGUUUAACUAUUUUCUUUGUUUUUUCCCUUGUCGUAAUAGGUCAAACUUUAACUAAACUAUGGUCGAGGGAUAAGACUUUAAUUGAUCAGAGGGAGAAUUAAACAGAAUUAAUGUCUUUGAUAUCUAUGUCAUUUUUUGAAUUGAUCAAAUUAAAUUCAUGAUGUUAACUAUAUAAUAUUAUUAAAUUGAAUAAUAUUGUCAUGCAUAUCAUAUAUUUUAUGUAGUUAGGUAUACAUUAAUUUAGUCAGCUUAGUUAUGCGGUGGUCAAUAAUUAGCGGAGCGAUCAUCUUCAGUUUUUAUAAGAAAGCGUUACAAAUAAAAAUAUAUGUUGAAAGGUACAUGAGAUGCCACGUAGGAGGCAACUAGAGGAGAAACAAGUCUUGUGUUUAAGAAGAAAAGAUUCGAAACAACACCCAGCUUCGCAUUGGUAGCUGCAAUGGUAGGUUCCUCGCCUGUCCACCCUUUUUAAAGUUUGAUGUGAACUAAUAAUAAUGUUAGAUUCUUUACCAAAAAUAAUAGCAUUAGAUUUUCCAUUAUUUAAUAAUGACUAUAGUAUCAAUAAUAAUAAUGAUUCUAUUCCGAUUUAAAUAGUGACAUCUAUGAAUAGGUUAGCGAUUGGAUAGCCUUGCAAGGAUAGCCAGAAGCAAGAACCAACAUGUACGGAGCAUAACAAAUAACACUAUAUUCUAAAAUCAGUAUACAGCACAAAUAAACUGUUUUGUCGGUUCAUUUUUUUUCGAGAAAUAACAAACUUAAGACUAGACGAUUGAAGAACAAAUCAAAGUUUUAUACAUUGCUUGUCUUUAAAACGACUUAGGUGGUUAGAGUACAAAAAAGAAAUAUCACGGGCUUGCUAAUUAAAUGUAUAGAAAUACAAAGAGUUCCCAAAAUAACAUCAUUGCUUUAUAAUUUAUCAAGAUGGUCUUUUGUCUUGUUAUUCUCUAAGCAUCGUAAGAAAAUGGAUGUCAUCGAAUAUUGAUGAUAAGAACAUAUAUGAUUCUAUUCCAAUCUUUAUUCAUUUUGAUUUGUUAUUCCAUAAACUAAACGUACAGAAGAAGAAGUAUCUGGACAAUAUCUAGGGUGGCUUCAAGUUGUUUCGUCUUUUUUGGGUGUCUGGUUACUUCAAUUAUGUGAAUGAUGUCGGGCCAGGAAUGCACUCGAGAUCCCAACGAUUGUUAUUUUGAUAUUUUAUGCUUUUUACGCUCUUUACUUUCUGUGUAAAUAAGACACGACAACCAACGUUUGAGAAAUCACAUAGCAUAGAAGAGAGACGAUGGUCGAUUUUGGGCUUAAUUAGAUGCAAUUUUCGGGAUACUUCAUAUUUAUAUUGAUCUUUAAAUCUUUGUUUCUGACAAAAAAAAAUUUAAAUUCAAAGUCCAAAAGAAACCCUAUCAAUAUGCUACCAUAGGCAUAGAUAAUGUCUCUAUGCCACGUUCCUAGAUGACCUUUUACUCUUAUUUUUCUUUCUUCCAAACAAUUGAAUUUUUAAUCAGUUUUUUUAAUUUUAGGAAUACAACAUGUCCAUGGACAGAUCCAGACUAAUCACCAUGUACGGUUCACAUAUCAGAUGGACUCUCCUCUCUUAUUUUGAAUAUUUAAAUAAGAUCUAAAAUAUAACCUUAUGUCCGCGCGUAGCCACAGAUGUUUAGUGUCGUCGAGUUGCUUCGAAGUCGGAUCUUACCACUAGAUCAUCCCCAUAUGUUUUUUUAUCCGUUUACUCUCUGUGAUUUUGUCUCUUUACACAAACCAGUAAAAUGUCACUCAUUCUCAUGUUAACAUCAGUUCUAUUGGAUUUGAUUACUUAAGAAUUUUCCUAAUCAAAGUUUUUAAUAUCUUUGACUAGAUAUAUCUUUGUACAAGUUUGACCUAUAAUUGGAGUCAGAUGGCAAGAUAACUAUGAAUGUUUUUUUUCUGUUGAGACUUAUGAAACGCUUUUGAGGGAUCAGAUAUUUUAUUUGAUAAAUGUUUGCAAAUGUUUUCUAAGUUCAAGAGAUUUGCCUAAUUAUUAACUAUGGUUAAUACAUUUAUUAGUCAACAAUACUGCUAUGCAACAAAUUAUUGUGACUUGCACGUAUAAGGAAAAGCACAAUAUGAAUAAUUGAGUGCUGAGCAAAAUUAAACAACCUGAAAAAACAAUUGGUAAGUAAGAAGUAUCUUAGAGCAACCUGGUGCAAAUCUUCAUCACAAGCAGCUCCUUCGACACUCAGGAAGCUGCUCUGUCACGGGACCAUUUAUCACAUAUGGAGACAUCGUAACAACGUCCUUCAUAACAGUGUGCAUCUCUCCCCGCAGCAGGUGUUCAAGCUCAUAGACCGAGAUAUCAAGAAUGCCAUCACUGCGAGACAGCAAAAGAGGAACUUCUUAGGACUAAUGACCCUUUGGAUUAGAUGACCACCAUCUCUAGUCCAAAAUCUACUGACUUUCUUGUUUUUUAUCUAAUUUUUGCCAAGAAAUAAGUGUGUAAAAGUCUUAACUUGUUUAGGACAAACAUUUCAUUAAGAUUAAUGAUAUUUACAGUUUAGCAAAAAAAGUAUCUUAGAGCAACAUCAACACUAAAAAAAUCUGAAAGUGUUUCUAAAUAAUAAAAAAUAUUAAAAAUCUAAUUUUAUAGUUAUAUUUGUUUUUAACAUUUAUGUUACUAAAACUGACACAAAAGUUCUAGUAACUAUUUAAAACGUUUUCGUAUGAUAACUUUUUCAGUGCUCAAUCUAACCUAUACUAAAAGGGUUAUAUGAGCAUCAGAGAGUGUGUCCACGUAGGACAAUUAAAUCAUCCAAUAGGAGAUCAGAUUUUCACCACGUCAGAUACUCACCUACGAGAUGUUUUGAUUUUAGGGUUGAACCCGUCUUCCAUCUCUGUCAUUCGAUAGCGUUGUUUCAUCUCCUUCCCAACAAUCCCAAAAGCUCCCGUUACAUAUUCAUCGUUUUUUUGCAUCUGUAUUUGACGAUUCAAAAUCAGAAUCCUAUUUCAAUUCAUGCAUCUGAAAAUUAAUGAAGCGCUGGCGAUGAAAAUUUGUCUUGAUCAGAAGUCGAAGUCUUGGUGACAUUUACGGCUGCAGUUGUGGCUGAUGCUGAGAACCAGUAGAAGCGGAAAAAGUCUCCUUUCACUGGUCAACAUUUGAUUUCUUAAGAAAUUAUCAAAGAUUGGAUGAGAUCUGCGCUGGAGCAAUGUUCGUUAGAUGCAGGCCAGCGCCCCUGCUGAUGUUUCAGAAACAUAUCUUUCUUCCCUUCUUGACGACAAGUUUCUAAGAAGCUUAUCCGACGUUAGAGAUGUGGAUGAAGCUCUCAAGAUAGUUACUAUCGAUUUGGAUCCAACUGCUGCGGUUUAUCAAUUAUCAUGAAGAUCAACCAUUAUUGAUUCACUGGUGGUGGAUGCAUACCUUGAGAUUGAUUACGAUUAUGAUGAGAUUGAUGAAGAAGAUGAAGAAGGCGAGGGCUAAGGAAGAAGAUAAGGGAAGAGCAGAAAAGUCAUCAGCUGUGCACAAGGUUUAACAAACACUUAGUUGAGACUUGAAACCGUAGGAUCUCUUUCGUGUUGAUCAAAUGAUCAUGCAAGGUCUGUUGCUAACCUGAGCUUUUUGCGCAUAAAUGGCGUUGGAAAAGAAAUAACCAACCACUAACACAUAUAAUCGACUCCACUAUCGUUAUAAAACCCCUUACGUAUUAUACUAGAUAUUGUUUGAUCAACUCUUUCACUGAGUGUUAAGGAGUUAGAACUAACCCUCUUUAGUCUGGAAACAGAAUUAACCCUUUCGUCAUUUUUAACCUCUUUACAUAUUAUAUUCUAUUUCAAUAGCUGUGUUAAGAGAUAUUUUGUUUCCAUGUUUUCAUGUCCAUAUCCCUCUGAAAUUCAUCAUUAAAAACCUCUCAAUCUUUAGCUUUUAAGAGAAAUUUCAGAGGAGAAGAGACUGGAGAAGAGGCGAGAAUAAACAGAGGUGAAGAAAAAAUAUAGGUCACAAAGUUGUGGUUAGGAAGAGUUUUGGGAAUCGAUUUAUGAACAUAACAGAAGUAUUUAGAUCUCGGAUAAUAUGCCUAUGGAACAAUCAAGCUGCAAGGAAUCCAUAGAAACAAACCGUGUUCAAAUCAGAGGAGCACUUGAGUAUGAGAUGGGUGAUGCUCAUAUGGCUAUCCAAGCCAGAUUGAACCAAGCUUUGCAUAAACUGAGCCACUCUUUGUAUAACACUUAUCAUCUUUAUAAAUCAGACAAAGCUAUUCUCUGUUCUGCAGACGCUACAUGUUGUUGUCUUCGUUGCGGCCAGGUGUGAGGGACCAGUUUAUCGGAGGGUAAGCUUAAGACGCAAUGUGAGGUUGACUCAGUUAUGGCAAUCUAGGAGGCUGAGGUUUUGAUAUUAAGGCACAUGUUUUACGUUUCGUUACACCAAAGAUUUUGUUCAUGCUGAACCUAUGGAUUUGACGCUAUGUUGAAACAAUGACGCUAUGUUGUCCUCUAAAUUUGAAAUUAAGGUAUUACUUUAUUAUUAUAGAACUAUCUGGAUUUUGUUGUUUCAGUCUCUCAGAUUAGUCUCUUUUCAAGGUGGGUGUAAUCAAAUGGUCAGAGGAUCAACAAUACGAUUAAGACUUUUCUUACUCUGCUGAUCAAGUGCCUGAAGCAAUAUCUAAGAGAGUUUAUUCAUGUUUGAUUUUUAAUGUUGUUUUAAGGAGGGUGUGCUCCUUAUUGAUGUACGAAAUCCUACUACCUUUUUGUUUGUUUCUCAAUUAUAUUGGGUAGGUUAGUUAGUGUUAGUUUACUCUCCGGCAUUUGUUGCAGGGUGAUGCAUGGUAAUGCUUACCCUACCGAAGAUCCAGAAUGCUACAAGAUUUUUGAAAAGAAUGAGUCUGAGCAGCUUGCUUUUGGUGCCAGUACUAUUAUAUGUUUUUAUUCUUUCAUUUGCAAGGCUAUGUGUGUCGGAAAGGACUUACUUUAAGUGACUAUCAAUUACAUGAUAUUGGUUGCUUCCUUGACGAUUUUUGAGGGGGUUGGCGAUGCUUUUGUUUCAUAGUAUAUAUUCUAAAUCAGGGUAAGUAAACUUUCCAAGUCUGAGGGACUAUUGCUGUAGAAUUUAUUAAUAACAUUCAAGGUUAAUCUAAAGUUAUAGUAAAGAAUUAUUCUAACAUGAUAUAUAUGUAUAAGAUAAAUUAUAUUUUCAAAAAAUGAUAGUCUAAUAAAUCAGAAAAAAUAAUUAAUAAAAAUACAGUAACUUUAUCUAAACAUACAAUAAAUUAAUUAUAUAUAAAGAAGCCAUUAUUUAAAACUAUUCUAAAAUUUAAUGAGUGAAUUUUAUUUUAGAAAACCUAAUAAGUUAUUGGGAUAAUAUUGCUUAUUUAGUCUUCAAAUAUAAAAUAUUCAGUCAUAUAUUUAUUUAAAUAUUGAUAAUUAAUAUUAUGUUUUGAUUCUUUUUUUAACAAAUAAUUUCCUAUUAUAGUGAAUUAUAUAUUCAUGUUCAAUUAUUUAAUUAAUAAGUUUACAAUAUAAUAUGUAAAAGAAGUAAAAAAUACAAGUACAUUCAAUAUGUACAAAAUAAAAAAUAAAAAAUGUUUUGAGUAUUAAACAAACCACAACAAUAAGAACUCAAAUCUACUUACCAUAUAUAAAAAAGUUGAGCAAACAUUUAAGAAAAUGUAUACCAUUUCAAUCAUGAAAAUCAUGUCAUGAUAAUACAAACUUAUAAACUCUAACAAGACUAAUAAAAAAUAAAAAAUAAAAAAUCAAGAAUUUUAAUUAUGUGUAGAUGAUAUAAAAAAAUGUGUUCUCAUAUAGAAAACAUAACACAAAAAGAAAGAUAAUAACUAAAAUAGUAUAAUGUCAUAAAAUAUAUUUGAAAAAAAAAUUUAGAAAAAUAAACGAAUAU
Brassica rapa (field mustard) is the source of this 9699-nucleotide long non-coding RNA. RefSeq lists it as uncharacterized. The record is from RefSeq and is a predicted model, not a curated record. NCBI's taxonomy places the organism in Eukaryota, Viridiplantae, Streptophyta, Magnoliopsida, Brassicales, Brassicaceae.